AGCCUUUGUGGACACUGCCCUUCCCCCCUGUAAAAUGUAGUCUUCAUUUUCUAAUUGUGAGUUUACCAUAUCUAUACAAUUAAAUGGGAUUUUUGGCACAUAUAAUAUCCAAUUAUAUUUUAGUAAGAAUAAAAUGUGGUCAUAAAUAUUUCUCCCAGAGUUAGGUUAUUUUGUUGAAUUGUAAGAGUUCUUUCUACGUUCUAGAUUCAAGUCUAUUAGACGUAAGAUUUUCACAUGAUAAGUCCUCAGUGACAAACUGAAAGAAUACAAAUCAAUGACUAAACUGAGAUCCUCAAAGGAUGGAGCAACUCUCUUACAGCAGAAGAUGACCUCUUUUGCCUUUG
Molecule: long non-coding RNA, 344 nt
Organism: Chinchilla lanigera (long-tailed chinchilla)
Lineage: Eukaryota; Metazoa; Chordata; Mammalia; Rodentia; Chinchillidae
Exons: 3
Source: RefSeq, a predicted model, not a curated record